ACGCCCGCCGUGGGGGAUUGAUUUUCCGCGGCCAAGCGAAAGCGUUAAGCGUCCCACCUGGGGAGUACGCCGGCAACGGUGAAACUCAAAGGAAUUGACGGGGGCCCGCACAAGCGGAGGAACAUGUGGUUUAAUUCGAUGAUAUGCGAGGAACCUUACCCGGGCUUGAACUGCGGGGGGAAUCGGCCGGAGACGGUCGCGCCCUUCGGGGUCCCUGCGGAGGUGCUGCAUGGUUGUCGUCAGCUCGUGCCGUGAGGUGUCGGCUCAAGUGCCAUAACGAGCGCAACCCCCGCCCCCAGUUGCCAUCGGGCGAGGCCGGGCACUCUGGGGGGACUGCCGCGGCAAGGUGCGAGGAAGGCGGGGACGACGUCAAAUCAGCACGGCCCUUACGUCCGGGGCCACACACGUGUUACAAUGGGGCGCACAGAGCGCUGGGUGCGCGCAAGCGCGCCCGAAUCGCGAAACCGCCCCUCAGUUCGGACUGGGGUCUGCAACCCGACCCCACGAAGCUGGAUUCGCUAGUAAUCGCGCAUCAGCCAUGGCGCGGUGAAUACGUUCCCGGGCCUUGUACACACCGCCCGUCAAGCCAUGAAAGCCGGGGGCGCCUGAAGUCCGUGACCGCGAGGGUCGGCCUAGGGCGAGACCGGUGAUUGGGGCUAAGUCGUAACAAGGUAACCGUAA
This 681-nucleotide ribosomal RNA is filed under the name uncultured bacterium. Its description in RNAcentral is "bacterial SSU rRNA". It matches the Rfam family "Bacterial small subunit ribosomal RNA", at positions 813 to 1505 of the family's 1533-position model. The record is from RNAcentral.